Mizuhopecten yessoensis (Yesso scallop) is the source of this 243-nucleotide long non-coding RNA. RefSeq lists it as uncharacterized. Lineage: Eukaryota; Metazoa; Mollusca; Bivalvia; Pectinida; Pectinidae. The record is from RefSeq and is a predicted model, not a curated record. The transcript has 3 exons.
CACGUCUGUGUUCGGGAACUAGUUCUGGAGAAAUUUAACCAAGAAGCAUGGGACAAAAUAAUAGAGAAAAGUGGAUUCGACGAAAGGGUCGAUUUUAUGGUUUUUCACAAGUAUCUUGACGAGAAGACGUUUGUCCUCAUAGGAGCAGUGUGUGAGGUUUCUGGUUUGACGCUACCUGCCGUACUAGAAAUAUUUGGGGAGUAUUUCUUGACUUACUGCUUACGUCACGGAUAUGACAAAAUG